This is a non-coding RNA of Aegilops tauschii subsp. strangulata, 4603 nucleotides long. NCBI's taxonomy places the organism in Eukaryota, Viridiplantae, Streptophyta, Magnoliopsida, Poales, Poaceae. The record is from RefSeq and is a predicted model, not a curated record.
CCGCGCCGCCACCAUCCUCCGCGUCCGCCACCGCCAUCCUCCCCGUCCGCCACCGCCGCCCCCAUCCUCCCUGUCUGCCGCCGCCAUGCCAUCGCCGCCACCUACCGGACGGCGCUGUGAAGGAAGCGACUAGAGAGGGAGGCGUCGCCGGUGUCGUGGACCCAUGCCGGCGCAACGGCGUGUGCGCGUGCCUCCGCGGGUUCGCGCAGCGGUCGCCGGAGGCGUCGCGGGUCAACUGCGUCGGGAAGGAUGGGCGCGCGCCACGCCGCUCUUCCCCGACACAACGUCCGCCGUUCUUCCUUGGUCGGGCAGUGGUCAAGUGCUUCUUCAAGCUGGGCCGCACGGUGGGAGAGGAGCCCCAGGCCGCAUGCUUCUUCUUGCGCUCCAUCGGGAGAGACCUCGAGGAUGCCAAGAUCUGCAAUGGCCUGAAGAACGAGGCAAUUCUUGGAAGCAACACGUACAUGUGGUCUUUCUUUCACUAUGAUUCCAAGGUUGUUUCUCUCCAUAUUCCAUUCCUCUCACAAAAUUUUCUUUUCUUGGGCUUUUACUUUAUUAUGUGUGUGCUAUGCUACUGACAAAAUAUCUAAUUCUGGUGCUUAAUUAUCAUGUCUAUGUAAGCAUCAUGUUCUCCUCUGUUUAAUCUCAUUAUUGCUGUGUAAAGGGAAAUCAAGGAUUACUUUUCUUGGUACAUAUGCAGUGUAUUUUUGUUUUGAGUAGUAACAGUUCAGUUAGAGGUGAAAUAAAUAAUCAAAGUACAGUACAAUCGUUUAUCGUCCGUGAAUCUUCUUCUUUCCCCGUUUAUCGUCCCGCCGACGUGCUCUUGAGGCAGCUGAUCCUAACUUAGGCUGCCGCCACUUGGUGCUCAGAAUCACAACGUCUCCGUGGAGCCGCAGUGGAUAGCAUGGUCUUGUCGCCAUGCUGGGGACGCAGCGGCAGCAUAUAUCCAGUCCAGAUCCGCUGGUUUCAGAUCAACGGAUUACCCCAGUUCAUCUUCCUACUCGCUUCUUUUCUCCUCACACACACAUCCCUGCAAAUUAGACUGUUUUUUUUACAUCUCUUCAUUCCAGUGGUGCAAUUUGCCAUUUAGUACUGAUUAGUUUACACUGAUUUAUGUCAGAUCUAACCAGAUUGAAUCAUUAACUGAUGGAGGAUUUGGAUGCCCCACACACUGUAAGUCUAUUGUGCCACAAUGUUUCUUUUUUUUCUACCGUCAUUGUUUGCUUCAUCCCUCUUUUUUGUAAGGGUGGUGAUAUGAUAAGUGAUAAUGACUCUCCAGAAGUUUAAAUUAUUUGAUACAUGGGAUUGGUCCAGAUGAUAUUGACUGUUCCGAUAUAACACCAGAACUUUAGCUUUCUCGGGAAUGUGACGAUGGCUUCCAUGAAAAAAUUCAUCGAAGUGACUGUCGAUGACCUACAGGAGCGUAGCAGACUCGAUGUGGCAACCGGGUCGCUCCUGAAUGCGGUCAAGUAGUGCCACCUGGCCGGUGAAGUGGCCGACAGCAGGAAUUCCGUCGUCGACAUCGUCGAGAUUCGCUUCAAGGGCCUGGAAGAUGCUCAACAACCAAAUCGUCGUCUCGUCCUCUCCAAGAGAAGGGGCCAACUCAAGCAGGUACAUCUGCUCGCUACAGCUCGCUCCUCCUCCCUUCUUCUCUAUUCCAUGGUUGAUUGUGUCAAACUUGAGCUGGUAGCUACUAUUCAGAUAUGUAACUUAGAUUUCAUGUCCUGCCUCUCGGGUAUGUGCUUAUUGUGGUUGCAGUCCUGUCGACUGAAAUGUUGUUCUUGGGUGCUAAAUUAAUUUGGUUAUCCUAUCAGCUCCAAGUUUCCAGUUUAUAAUUAUAUAUGAGACAUAGCUGCUUUGUUGUUGGUUGUUCUGGUCGAUUCUUUUGUUUUCUGAUACUCUGCUUGUUGCGAUUUGAAUGCUACCUAUGUUGAUAUACUGGUAAUUGUUUGGUUGCCUCGGUUGUGAUUCUAAGAUUUCUUAUUUACUUUGAUUAUGAUGUUUGUUGUGGUUGAUUCUGCUACAUCUUUCUAUUUCAGGACUUUGUGUUGUUGGUUGGUCUGUGUUGUUGUUUUUAUCGUCUUCAGGCGAGCCAUGCUCUUUCCCCCGUAUUUUGGUAUCUAUAUACCUGCGUCCUUCUGAUCUUUUUCAAACUGCCAUUUUCCCCCUUCUAGGUCUGUUGGGGUGUUUUUUCUUUUAUUCCUUAAUUUGUCACAUGCAUCUUUUGCUUGUGUUAGUCGUUUGUGCCUCUUUUCGAGGCUCUUACUGCCAACUGCCUUUUCGUUCAUAUGUUCGUGAGUGACACGAUGGAUCUGUGCUUGGAGGGGUGGACCAAUGUAUAUGUCGCGCAAGAGACCAACUGAUCCCAAACAUUGUUUUUCUUUACUGUUCGCUAUGGCAGAUAUCGGGCAGGCAUCGUCUUCCUGUUUUGCCUGAGGUGUGCCUCAGCUGGGGCAUUUUGAAAUGUGCUAUUACUGUCGUGGUCUUUUCUUUUGCAACAUGGUAAUAUUUUUGUCAAUUUGGAGUUGUUUGGUCUGACUAUAUAUAUGUCUUUGGUAAUAUAAUGGAUUGGAACGAAAUGGCCGGCUCUGUUUAUAUGCCAGGAGGGCCUGUGUUCUACCCUACUCUUAUCAUGGUAGCUGAUUGUCCUGUCCCUCUGUUGGUAUGCUCAUGGACAAUUGUAUGUUAUCAUGUUAGCUGAUUGUCCUGCGUUGUAUUAGUAUAUACUCGAAUACAUGAUUUUUUUCUCUUUGGCUACUGAAUUUUAUUGCUAUUCUUCUGCACACAUGUACAUGCGGCUCCGGUUCUAUUAUACUGUACAUCAGGUUCAGUAUUCACAAUUAUUUUCAUGAGUCCAAGGAUAGUUCUGUUUGGUGUCGUGCCCUGUAUGAUUAAUGUUCAUGAUUUAAUUACAAGUGAAAACAUUUGUAUCCGUUGAAACGCAAUGGUUUUCCCCCUGCAUUGUGAUAAUUAAUUUACAUUUGCACUAUAGUAGGCUCCAAAUCCUAUUAAGUGUGAUACGAAUGGGAAUGGAAUAUUUAUGAAUAAGAAAGCUUUCUUACUCCUGUUGGAUUUUAUGUCGUAGCAAUAUCCCUGUUUUUGUUUCCCUGCAAGACUCGAGCUAUAUGUAAUAGUGCUAUAACUUUCAGCAUCUCCUAAAGUACAUCCUAAGUUGUACUCAAUCACCACUACUAUUUUAAUUUCCAUUGCAGCUUUCUGAAAUAAGUUUAUCCGUCUUGCUGAAUGUUAAAAAAAACAGAAGGUAUCUUAAGUACAACCAUAGACUGCCUGCACAGUCCUUCCAAAGGAAAAAAAUCUGACUCGAUGUUUUGAUUCAGCAGCAUUGCUUUUCAGAUAAUAUAGGAGAGUGGAAGGUUCAUGCUCAUUUUUCUUUUUUGUAUUUUUUCUUGUUCAUGCUUAUACUAUUUAUUCUUGCAAAUAUGUACUAUUGAAAUAGAAAGAUCAUCUUGUGUGUUCAGACCCAUACACUUAUCCUGCAAUAUGUGAAGGAAUGCUUAUAUUGGCAUCCUGCUGUAGAAAAUGGUUAGCUUAGCAGCAACUAUUGUGUCUUCUAAUUAUGUCGCCUCAAAUUUGUAGGAACGCUAUUGUUGCUUUCGAAAUGCUAUUGGAUCUUAUAAAUUUUUUUGGACCUGUUAUUCAUUCAACAUUGUCAGUUAGCUCACUCGUUGGAGUAGAACUUCAAGCCGAACAGAGGUAUGCUCUCCAACUUUACUCGGGGAAGGGAACUGGGUGUUGCUAAGAGAGAUGUUUUAAAAACUUGUGUUGCUACAAGCCACUAAGGAACUCGGUCUGAGGUGGCGAGUUUGUCGCGAACUUAUGUUUUGCUUAUACUGGUCCUGUCCCUGAUAAGGGUGUGUGUAUCGAGUGUUUGCCAAUUUAGUUCUGGCAUGUUGAGUCCAUGGACAAGUAUGGAUUAUUCUCUAUAGCUUUAGCCAAUUUAGGAGACAACCGCUGUUUUCCUGCACAUUUGCAUAUAGUUUCAGUCGCUAUGAUAGUAAACUCGCUCUCAACGACUCCGAUCUUACAAAAUGUUAGGUCUCCUUAGUUCCAAAUAUGGUUUUACAGGUUCUAAAAUUAUUUCUUUGAUGCGAGGUGCCAUGCUGUGGAUAACAAGGAGAUUAUCAAGGCGGAGCGGCGGUGAGUAUGGAGCUCAUAAUCAUCAGUUCAUCACCAUGAAGCAGAAGGAAUGGUAUAGCUUUGCCAUGAUAAAGAAAAACCCACACAAGCACACCUGUCCACCUGGAGGGGGAGGGGGAAGGCCAAAACCAAGCUAGCAAAAACUAGGUGGGUGGCAGAUGCUAUAUUGGAUUGGCUGAGAGAAGAACCUGGACUUGGUCCAACAACACUCCAUGGGAAACUUUUUGAGAAGUACAAGAUAGAAAUUCCUUACAUGAGAAUUUUCAAUGCUAGGGAAAAGGCUCUUGACAGAAUUAAUGGUCAAUGGAAUGACAGUUUUCAGCUGCUUUACACUUUCAAAGCUGAAGUGGAGAUGGCAAGUCCAGGGAGUGUUGUAGAGAUUGACAAGCAUACAGUUCCAAUCAAAAUAAAAGGGAAGUCAUUUCAGAAGGAGUGCUUCAGAAGGGCU